Molecule: long non-coding RNA, 2684 nt
Organism: Pezoporus flaviventris
Lineage: Eukaryota; Metazoa; Chordata; Aves; Psittaciformes; Psittacidae
Exons: 2
Source: RefSeq, a predicted model, not a curated record
CAUAGCCACAGCCCCCGGCCGCGGGCGGGGAACCGGCGGCUCCGCCUCUCAGCGGGGAGGGCGCUGAGGGGACCGGGCACAACCCGCCGCGCCUGUCACCUCGACACCCUGCACCGCUCGUGCCGGGAAACAACAGGCGAGCGGGGUAGCUACAGCCGGCGCGGCAGGAAGAGGAGGGGCAAGCGGGCAGAGGCGCGGCACGGUCCCAACGGGUGGCUCAGCCGGCUCUCGCCGGGCCGCAGGGUCACUUCUGCCCCCGCUGCUGGCCCGGCCCGGGCAGAGGGUGUUACUGGAGCGGCCCCGGGAGCAUAGCAAGGAAACGGAACUUGACUGGCUGCACUGCCUUGAUCCGCUUUGGAAAUUAUGAGCUACUUGACUAGUGAGUAACAGUGUAAUGGAACAGACAUAAAGGUGUCAGAAGGCCUUUUUAACUAGCGUCUUGUUUCCAAAAGUAACCAUGAGUGGGUACCAAGGAAACAAGGGAGAACUCCACAGGCAUAUAUAAUAUUUUCCUGGAUAUUCUCCCAUCUUACAACCAGAUGACAUCCUCAGCUGAAUGCUUUGGGGUUGGUGUCCCCCUGUCUUUUUACCCUCUAUUGGUAGAUUGCUCUACCAUUAGUUUCCCUGACCUCUGUGACUUUACAUCAGCUCCUGCCUUUGGCACCAAGUACUACAGUCUACCACCAUUUUUAGGAAGCAUCUUCCUGGCACAUGUUGAAGUUGCGGCCUGGUAGCUCCAGCAGCAGCCACCCUUGAUCUUGUAUGAAAGUAGACAGUGACCAUCAGUUCCAGCACUUACUGUCUGCCUCCACAUGAGCCUCGAAGGAGGCUGCUCAGAGCAGAGCCUUUCCCAGCCUCCCAGACCACUGUUUACUUGCCUGCAAAAGCAUCUUGCUGAUCACUUGGGAGGAAGGUAAUGCUGGGUGGUGGCAGCUUGUUGUGAGUGGAUGCUGCAGGGAACAGGUCUGCCUGUGGUGACAUGCCUCAGAGAAGUCCUUGUAUUGCUUCCUCUUCUAUCUGCCAGGGACAGGUUUGAUAGCUUUUUCUUAUGUGUAAUAUGAACAUCUAAAAGGAUUGCUUGUACCUAAUAAUAGGUGUCCAUCUGCAUCUUAGUAUAUUUUAGUAAGUAUCAGGUAUAAAGCCCUACCAGUGAUAAAUGUUUCCUUCUUAAUACGCACUUUCUACAGUAUUUUUCAUUUAAUGAUCUUAACUUUCUGACUGAACUUAUCUUACGGGCUUGCUAAUUUGAGACUAGCUAGGAUGAAACUGAAGAUAUUCAAUAACCUUUGUAAAUGUUUGCUUCAUGUGUUUCUCAGGAAGCUUCACAAGCCAAUUAUUUCAGUUUCCAUAGUGAGCUGGGUUUGAUGUCUUUGUCGUUCAACAUGCAUCCUGUUAGGAGUUGUCAUUAACUCCGUUGUCUUCUUUGUUCUGCAUGGUGCCAAGCACUUUGACAGAGCCCAAAUCAAAACGAAGUAUCCAUGGAUGGCUUUUAGCCUUAAUUCCAGGUUUAGCUGGCAUGGAUGAAACUGCCAACAGAUCAAAAGAAUGCAGGAGCUUUUUAUUUCCCUCGUGGUUUCAGAAGGCUUUAGUGUCUAUGUUAUCCAGACUGGCUCUUAGCACUUAGUCUAGAAACCUCUAUGUCCUGCUAUAAAACAUUAUUUUCUGAGGCUAGGAAAAGCUACAAUUACUAAAUGUCCAAAAUAAAUAGUUAACAUUGUUCAUGCUUGAGAUUUGUUUUAAUGCAAUAGAACAAAUUCUGUGGAACAGCGGAAAAUAUACCACAAGCAUUGAAGUACCAAAAUAAUACAAUUCCAGAUGAAAAGCAAUACUAAUCCUGAUGGAUUGGAACCAUAAAUUACAUAUUUGGAGAACAUUCUUGGAAACAAUCAGUCUAUGGCUGUAAGUACAGCUCUGCUUCUACCACCUACAACUACCUCCCCCUCCCCUAUACCCUUAUUCCUGGCCUGGAACAUGUGAAAUGAGACGAUACUACUCCACCAGAGAGGCAGAAUAGCAGCAAAGGAUCUUCUGCCUCCAUCAGGAGAUUCAUCUUUGCUUCUACCUGAAGCAGAUGCCUAUAGAAGUUGUUAGCAGUUGAAACCAGGGUACAUCCAACCAAUGCCAGACCUGAACCUGCUGCACUCCUGUGACUUGUGUGUUUUGUGCCAUAUAGCUAGCAGGAGAUGCUGUCUGCAGGGUGGUACAUCCGUUAGACACCCAUCUGGGAAUAUGACUGAGCUUCAGGUAAACUGCUGUUUCAAGGAGACACCCAUGUAUUUAAUAUUGUCAGGUCAUAUUCCCAUGUUUUUCUUAGGAGCCACUUAGGCUAAAACUUGUCUUUUUUACAUCUGAAGCUCUAACAUAAAGGGGUGACUCCUGCAUGCCUUUAGAACAGGUUUAUGUGUUUUCCAUCCCUGUAUCUGCAUGUGCAAGACAACUACAUUUCCUCUCCAGCCUUCAUCUACAGGGAAAACCUAGUGAAAGCACAGCUCUGUGUGCUCUUCCCUGACUGCUCUGCAACACCUCUGUGGUAGGCAGAGAGAGUAUCUCUGGGGGGUUCUGGCUCACCUGGCUCCUCCUGUACUUCCCAGUUUCCAGUCCCAAGACUACCUACAAGCCUUGUCCCCAGAAGUAAGAUGAGUGGGUGUAUCCCAGAGCAUGUUUUAUAUCAUAAGUAAAUAUAA